AACGCUAGCUACAGGCUUAACACAUGCAAGUCGAGGGGCAGCAUGGUCUUAGCUUGCUAAGGCCGAUGGCGACCGGCGCACGGGUGAGUAACACGUAUCCAACCUGCCGUCUACUCUUGGACAGCCUUCUGAAAGGAAGAUUAAUACAAGAUGGCAUCAUGAGUCCGCAUGUUCACAUGAUUAAAGGUAUUCCGGUAGACGAUGGGGAUGCGUUCCAUUAGAUAGUAGGCGGGGUAACGGCCCACCUAGUCUUCGAUGGAUAGGGGUUCUGAGAGGAAGGUCCCCCACAUUGGAACUGAGACACGGUCCAAACUCCUACGGGAGGCAGCAGUGAGGAAUAUUGGUCAAUGGGCGAGAGCCUGAACCAGCCAAGUAGCGUGAAGGAUGACUGCCCUAUGGGUUGUAAACUUCUUUUAUAAAGGAAUAAAGUCGGGUAUGGAUACCCGUUUGCAUGUACUUUAUGAAUAAGGAUCGGCUAACUCCGUGCCAGCAGCCGCGGUAAUACGGAGGAUCCGAGCGUUAUCCGGAUUUAUUGGGUUUAAAGGGAGCGUAGAUGGAUGUUUAAGUCAGUUGUGGAAGUUUGCGGCUCAACCGUAAAAUUGCAGUUGAUACUGGAUAUCUUGAGUGCAGUUGAGGCAGGCGGAAUUCGUGGUGUAGCGGUGAAAUGCUUAGAUAUCACGAAGAACUCCGAUUG
Molecule: ribosomal RNA, 694 nt
Filed under: uncultured bacterium
Lineage: Bacteria
Description: bacterial SSU rRNA
Rfam family: Bacterial small subunit ribosomal RNA
Source: RNAcentral